AACGCGAAGAACCUUACCUGGGCUCGAACGACUGGUGGUAGCUUGGAUGAAAAUCUAGGCGACCCGCAAGGGAGCCAGCCGAGGUGCUGCAUGGUUGUCGUCAGCUCGUGUCGUGAGAUGUUGGGUUAAGUCCCGCAACGAGCGCAACCCCUGUCCUGUGUUGCUACCCGCAAGGGAGGACUCUCAGGAGACUGCCGCGGAUAACGUGGAGGAAGGUGGGGAUGACGUCAAAUCAUCAUGGCCUUUAUGUCCAGGGCUACACACGUGCUACAAUGGCGUAAACAGAGGGAAGCAAGACCGCAAGGUGGAGCAAAUCCCUAAAAUACGCCUCAGUUCGGAUCGUGGGCUGAAAUUCGCCCACGUGAAGGUGGAAUCGCUAGUAAUCGCAGAUCAGCAGGCUGCGGUGAAUACGUUCCCGGGCCUUGUACACACCGAGACGUA
RNAcentral lists this ribosomal RNA (441 nucleotides) under uncultured bacterium. RNAcentral's name for it is "bacterial SSU rRNA". It matches the Rfam family "Bacterial small subunit ribosomal RNA", at positions 958 to 1398 of the family's 1533-position model. The record is from RNAcentral.